AAUCCAUGCCAUUAAACGGCACCACUUUUGUAUGCUGUAUAAAAACCAUUUAAAAACCCUUCUUUUUUUUUUUAAACCUUAGGUUAUUCCCCUCUUUGGUAACAGCAGACUCAGGGACUGCUUUCUUUUCUUCUCUGCUCUUCACCGAAAUUUUCCCUUUGUCUACUCCGAUUCAGACGAAGCACAACAAGGCAUUGACAACGGCCACCACUGUUUUUUGCAGGUAUGAAGGUCAUGGAGGAUGUGCGCAAAGUGCUGAACGUGGGGCGAUGUUGAGGCGUGGGUGAGGUUGCCGCGGCUGCUGAUUUUGCUGUUAGCUAUUUAGGGUUUGCUAUUCUUUGAAAAUUUUUGGGCUGUACAGGGUUAUUAGUUUGGUAAUGGGCUGUUAGUAUAAUUGGGCCCGGGCCAAAAUGGCCUAUUACACUUUUAUUCAAACUGGUAUACUAAAUGAUUCUCGUACCAAUCAAUUCAGUUCAAUUCUAACCA
Gossypium raimondii (Peruvian cotton) is the source of this 486-nucleotide long non-coding RNA. RefSeq lists it as uncharacterized. The transcript has 2 exons. The record is from RefSeq and is a predicted model, not a curated record. Lineage: Eukaryota; Viridiplantae; Streptophyta; Magnoliopsida; Malvales; Malvaceae.